Long non-coding RNA from Bactrocera neohumeralis, 865 nucleotides. RefSeq lists it as uncharacterized. NCBI's taxonomy places the organism in Eukaryota, Metazoa, Arthropoda, Insecta, Diptera, Tephritidae. The transcript is spliced from 2 exons. The record is from RefSeq and is a predicted model, not a curated record.
AAAAAAAUCAAGGGCAUCGCUACAAACUUACUGCCGUCCCUAAAUAAAAGCGGUAGCGGCAAAUUACUGUCAAAAAUUCCUGAUCUCCAUAGAUUUUAUAUGGCGAUUUUGACAGCGCGCUUCGAAGUAAUUUUUGAAUUUAAGAGAGAACGAUGAAAAUAUUGGAAAACCAUUCAAAAACUCACCAAACAAAUUUUCGUCGUCGUCGAAUUUAAAUCGUUAUAUAGGUGAUAACAGUAAGCGGAAGCGAGAACAAAUUUGAGUAGGACUUCGGGACAUUAUCGACAUCGAUCAGAAGAACAUGAUAAAAUUUUGCUUCGAAAGUUCUAGUACUCGUUGAAAAUCAUGCACUAAUUCCGUGAACGUUGGCUGCAUUUAUGUACACAAUAUGGCGAGUGCCAUAAAUAGCGCCAUAAGGAUAAUGACCAAGUGUCAAAUGGGGAUUUAAAUCAAAGAAAUCUGCCACAACCCUAAAUUAGCCUUCCCGGUUCCAGCAGAUUUUAUGAAUUAUAGUUUUUUAAAUUAUGUAUAGUUCAGUUGUUUAAUACAUAAGAAAUUUUCUAAUAUUUGCAACAGAAAUAUAGUUAUUCGUAUAGUAUAUAACUAUACAAUAUUAAUAUUAAUUAAGAAUUUUUUUGUUUUGGCAGCAAACUUACUCUCGAAAUUCAGUGAAAUCUAAACAACUUUCACAAGCUCGCCGAACUAAUUUGCGUCAUAUUAAUAAGGAGCGAGAACAAUAAAAUUCGGGUGUGAAUAAGGAUUUCCUUGUUUUAAAAGUAAAACUAAUUGAGCGAAAUAAUACAGUUGUACUUUUAUUAUAAAUAUUUAAGAAAAUUAGAAAAUAUAACAUUAUUUUAAUAUUCUA